UUAUUAUUUGAAAGGAGAGACGGUUGGCAUUCCCUUUGACGAGGAUGAAACACGUAAAAUUGUUCAGGGCAUGAUCAAACAUUUUUU
Molecule: small nuclear RNA, 87 nt
Organism: Pectinophora gossypiella (pink bollworm)
Lineage: Eukaryota; Metazoa; Arthropoda; Insecta; Lepidoptera; Gelechiidae
Source: RefSeq, a predicted model, not a curated record